Molecule: ribosomal RNA, 302 nt
Filed under: uncultured bacterium
Lineage: Bacteria
Description: bacterial SSU rRNA
Rfam family: Bacterial small subunit ribosomal RNA
Source: RNAcentral
GUGCCUAACACAUGCAAGUCGCGCGCGAAUGGAGCAAUCCUAGUAGAGCGGCGAACGGGUGCGUAACACGUGGGUAAUCUGCCCGAGAGCCCGGAAUAACCUGCCGAAAGGCAAGCUAAUACCGGAUAAGCUCACGAGGUCCUCGGACCUCGAGAGAAAAGGUGGCCUCUGUACACAAGCUACCGCUUUUGGAUGAGCCCGCGGCCCAUCAGCUUGUUGGCGGGGUAAUGGCCCACCAAGGCUACGACGGGUAGCUGGUCUGAGAGGACGAUCAGCCACACUGGAACUGAGACACGGUCCAG